This 148-nucleotide non-coding RNA is filed under the name Nomascus leucogenys (northern white-cheeked gibbon). The record is from Rfam by way of RNAcentral. Lineage: Eukaryota; Metazoa; Chordata; Mammalia; Primates; Hylobatidae.
GCAGGGCGUGGUGGUGCGUGCCUGUAAUCUUAGCUACUCGGGAUGCUGAGGCAGGCGAAUCACUUGAACCCAGGAGGCGGAGGUUGCAGUGAGCCAAGAUGGCACCACUGCACUCCAGCCUGGGCAAUAGAGUGAGACCCUGUCUCAA